This 271-nucleotide ribosomal RNA is filed under the name uncultured bacterium. RNAcentral describes it as "partial 16S ribosomal RNA". It matches the Rfam family "Bacterial small subunit ribosomal RNA", at positions 524 to 794 of the family's 1533-position model. The record is from RNAcentral.
UACGGAGGGGGCUAGCGUUGUUCGGAAUUACUGGGCGUAAAGCGCACGUAGGCGGCUUGAAAAGUUGGGGGUGAAAGCCCGGAGCUCAACUCCGGAAUUGCCUUCAAAACUCCCAGCCUAGAGUUCGAGAGAGGUGAGUGGAAUUCCGAGUGUAGAGGUGAAAUUCGUAGAUAUUCGGAGGAACACCAGUGGCGAAGGCGGCUCACUGGCUCGACACUGACGCUGAGGUGCGAAAGCGUGGGGAGCAAACAGGAUUAGAUACCCUAGUAGU